This 863-nucleotide ribosomal RNA is filed under the name uncultured bacterium. RNAcentral's name for it is "bacterial SSU rRNA". It matches the Rfam family "Bacterial small subunit ribosomal RNA", at positions 54 to 914 of the family's 1533-position model. The record is from RNAcentral.
CAUGCAAGUCGAACGGAACUGUUUUGAAAGAUUUCUUCGGAAUGAAUUUGAUUUAGUUUAGUGGCGGACGGGUGAGUAACGCGUGAGUAACCUGCCUUCAAGAGGGGGAUAACAUUCUGAAAAGAAUGCUAAUACCGCAUGACAUAUCGGAACCACAUGAUUCUGAUAUCAAAGAUUUUAUCGCUUGAAGAUGGACUCGCGUCCGAUUAGUUAGUUGGUGAGGUAACGGCUCACCAAGACCGCGAUCGGUAGCCGGACUGAGAGGUUGAACGGCCGCAUUGGGGCUGAGACACGGCCCAGACUCCUACGGGAGGCAGCAGUGGGGGAUAUUGCGCAAUGGGGGCAACCCUGACGCAGCAACGCCGCGUGAAGGAUGAAGGUUUUCGGAUUGUAAACUUCUUUUAUUAAGGACGAAAAAUGACGGUACUUAAUGAAUAAGCUCCGGCUAACUACGUGCCAGCAGCCGCGGUAAUACGUAGGGAGCAAGCGUUGUCCGGAUUUACUGGGUGUAAAGGGUGCGUAGGCGGCUUUGCAAGUCAGAUGUGAAAUCUAUGGGCUCAACCCAUAAACUGCAUUUGAAACUGUAGAGCUUGAGUGAAGUAGAGGCAGGCGGAAUUCCCCGUGUAGCGGUGAAAUGCGUAGAGAUGGGGAGGAACACCAGUGGCGAAGGCGGCCUGCUGGGCUUUAACUGACGCUGAGGCACGAAAGCGUGGGUAGCAAACAGGAUUAGAUACCCUGGUAGUCCACGCUGUAAACGAUGAUUACUAGGUGUGGGGGGUCUGACCCCUUCCGUGCCGGAGUUAACACAAUAAGUAAUCCACCUGGGGAGUACGGCCGCAAGGUUGAAACUCAAAGGAAUUGAC